Molecule: long non-coding RNA, 1153 nt
Filed under: Elaeis guineensis (African oil palm)
Lineage: Eukaryota; Viridiplantae; Streptophyta; Magnoliopsida; Arecales; Arecaceae
Description: long non-coding RNA (EGUI_LNC014564)
Source: RNAcentral
AUAUUGUCACGGCCGGUAGUUAACUACCGGUCCUGUGGUCCAUGCAAGCAGCCUUUUCUAGUAUUGAAAACCAUACACCAGUAGGAUGCUUUACCUUUGAUGUCCCUAUUAUGUGGUAUCUCCUGCCUAGGGACCAUGGAAUUCGGCUUCAUCUGUGAUUAAUGGAACUUUGGAGGGAAGACGUACCUUCCCAAUAUAGACAAUGCGAUAAUAGCCAUCAAACUAGAAUAAGGUGGUGAGAGAUGAGACGAUACUCAGUGAUGAUGAUAGCAAAUGAUAGUUUUAGGAAGGUAUUUAUGGUACUCUCACCCUUUGGUGCACCUAAAGAUUAAAUCUCUCAUCAUCGGGUUUUGGAAGUAGACCGGCAUUGCCCCAGCUUGGUGAAGUCGAAAUGGCACAUUGCAUUUUGCAAUGGGAGAGAGUAUGGUGCCUGAUGUUGGCCAUCUAAAUGGUGCAUGGUUUGCAUUGCAGAUAUGCAAUGCUCGAUAGCUGCCAUCAAGAGAUAGACGGCUAUCAACAGUGUUGCACCAUAUAUCGCGUAUAAGCUGUCUUGUUUGAUAGCUAUUUGUCUUCUAACGAGGAUCAUUGAGCACUGUACAGUGCUCUGCAAUGCAACCCGAGGAUUUAUGCUCAUCUCGGUUAUAUUAUAAGAUAUACAACAAUGUCAGGAUAGGGCACAAUGGAUUGAAUGAAGGCGGAUAUCGACAUUCUUUUGAAUUGGUAAUAGGAGAUCUACAUGUUUUUCUUCAUUGUUUGCUUUGUUGAACCAUGGUUUCCUUGGUUGCAAGUAAUAAUAGAGGCUUGAACUAUGCAGGUGAGUGAUGGGGGAUUCAUAAAUAAGCUUCUCUCUAUUUCUUUGCAAACUCAUUUCUUCUGUUCUACUGCCUUCAGAGAAUUUAGAGAGAUAGAGAAGGGCGCAUGUGCAUGAAAUCCUUGUUAUGUAACUAGAGGGAGUAUCAAACAAAGAUGGGCUUGUCAAGGUAGGUGCACUGUCAUUAAUAGUGGCCGGUGGAUUUCGUUUGGGAGAUGGACAUGGAAAAAGAAGACAAAUAGAAAGGUAUGAUGAGAAUAGAUGUUGUAAAGAGACGUGUGUUUAAGAAACUAGGUAAUUUUGGUAGAAGCUAUGAUCACCAUCCAAAUCAAAGAUCGCUGC